AUUGAACGCUGGCGGCAUGCCUUACACAUGCAAGUCGAACGGUAGGGGGAGCAAUCCCCUGAGAGUGGCGAACGGGUGAGUAAAGCAUCGGAACGUGCCCAGUUGUGGGGGAUAACUACUCGAAAGAGUGGCUAAUACCGCAUACGACCUGAGGGUGAAAGCGGGGGACCGAAAGGCCUCGCGCAGUUGGAGCGGCCGAUGUCAGAUUAGCUAGUUGGGGGGGUAAAGGCCCACCAAGGCGACGAUCUGUAGCUGGUCUGAGAGGACGACCAGCCACACUGGGACUGAGACACGGCCCAGACUCCUACGGGAGGCAGCAGUGGGGAAUUUUGGACAAUGGGCGCAAGCCUGAUCCAGCCAUGCCGCGUGCAGGAAGAAGGCCUUCGGGUUGUAAACUGCUUUUGUCAGGGAAGAAAUCCCUUGGGUUAAUACCUCGGGGGGAUGACGGUACCUGAAGAAUAAGCACCGGCUAACUACGUGCCAGCAGCCGCAGUAA
RNAcentral lists this ribosomal RNA (496 nucleotides) under uncultured bacterium. Its description in RNAcentral is "partial 16S ribosomal RNA". It matches the Rfam family "Bacterial small subunit ribosomal RNA", at positions 29 to 523 of the family's 1533-position model. The record is from RNAcentral.